GAGAGAUGGCUGAAWGGUUGAUGGCCCCGGU
This 31-nucleotide transfer RNA is filed under the name Anathallis luteola. RNAcentral describes it as "partial tRNA-Ser". Lineage: Eukaryota; Viridiplantae; Streptophyta; Magnoliopsida; Asparagales; Orchidaceae. The record is from RNAcentral.